Long non-coding RNA from Cuculus canorus (common cuckoo), 1271 nucleotides. RefSeq lists it as uncharacterized. Lineage: Eukaryota; Metazoa; Chordata; Aves; Cuculiformes; Cuculidae. The record is from RefSeq and is a predicted model, not a curated record. The transcript is spliced from 2 exons.
UUGGUUAACAUAGCACAGACAAAUAAGCUGGUGUUCUUUAGUCUUUCUCCCACUCAAAGUGAGGAGGACUUCGUACGCUACUGUGUAGCUGUACUCUUGUAAUCAUUCAGGAAUCAAAUGCAUGCGUAUCUCUAGGGACUUUGGUCUCUCCAGCGGGGGGGUGACACUGUUCAGCUGACAUCUCUGAGAGAUACAGCAUCAGGCAGCAUGGGCAAUAGCCCAUGUGAAGGUGUCUGAACAGGACUGGACUCGAGUCAUCGGAGACUGGGCAGUGCCUUCCCACCUAUUCCCACGUUCCCAGGCGCGUGAAGUCCUCUGAGAAGCUGAUUUUCUUAUUUGAUAUAAAAACUGGUAACAUUUGUCAAUAGCAGUGGAUUAUAGAAGCUUUAAAAAGUACGCAUUCUCUACUGCCAUGAAUAACACAGCAAACUGGCUGAGCUGUGUGGGAAACCUUGGUGUGUUUGCUUAGGCUCACUUGAAGUGCAAAUAGUCAUAAGUAUUCAUGACAGAAAGUUUUAUUUUUUAUGAAACAAAUGAGCUGAAAUGCAUUGUGUUGCACUGUAUCUGAAGACACAGAUUCUGCUAAUUCGGGGUGGACAGAUUUUUACAUGUGAAAAUGCCAGAACCUCUAUUUAAAUUUAUCUUUCAGCCACAAAAAUGGGAAUUAUUACAAUAAAGUAACCUGAAACCUUGUUGUGAGAUUUUUGUAUAAUUAUACUGGUUUCCCACAGUUAAGAGUAUGAAUAAGCUUCUGAUAAUAAGUUCUCAGUGUUCUUUCUGAUGCGGUGAAGGGAUUCUUUACGAACCUUUCAAACUGAAGAAACUACUGAAGGAAAACUCUGAGACACGGUGGUUCAUAACAGGAUGUGUUCUUCAGCUGGAUAAACUGAAGGAGUGGCACCUCCAGAUUGUAUCCCUCCAGUAAGGAACACAUUAAAAGGAAAAACAAACAGAACUGUCACAUCAGAGCCAUCUCCCAUUACGCUAGCUCUUUCCAGUUAUCAGCAUUUUCAAAAGCAGUUAUUCAGCUUCUGAACUGUAAAUCGACCUGAAAACUUUUUGUGAAUUAAAACUGAAUUUUGAACAGGUAAUUUUUGAUAAAGUUUCACUUGAUAACAUUAGUAUUACAAAAAUUGUAUCACAGCCAUAAAAAAUACAUAUUGACAUUUAUGUAUAUCAAUCUAUGCAUGCAUAGAAUGUAAAUGUUUUGUAUAGUGUAUUUUAUAUCUCAUGUUUAUAUUGUUUUAUAACAAUAAAAAAUCAUAAAAAUA